This 1230-nucleotide ribosomal RNA is filed under the name Triticum aestivum (bread wheat). RNAcentral describes it as "partial small subunit ribosomal RNA". Lineage: Eukaryota; Viridiplantae; Streptophyta; Magnoliopsida; Poales; Poaceae. The record is from RNAcentral.
AUGGAGCCUUCGCCAGCUAGAUGGCAGAACGCGUUCCUUCAUGGUGUUCUGGAAGAGGAAGUGUAUAUGAAGCAACCUCCUGGGUUUGAGGAUAAACAUAAACCAUCUCACAUUUGCAGGCUUGACAAAUCUCUUUAUGGACUCAAGCAAGCUCCACGUGCCUGGUAUUCUCGGUUGAGUUCUAAGUUGCACACCCUUGGUUUUACUCCCUCUAAGUCUGAUACAUCCCUGUUUAUUUACCAUAAAUCACAGAUAGCUAUCUUUGUACUCAUUUAUGUGGAUGAUAUCAUUGUCACUAGCUCGUCCAAUGAGGCAAUUAUAGCUCUUUUGAAGGAUUUGAACUCAGAGUUUGCUCUUAAGGAUCUUGGAGAUCUUCAUUAUUUCCUUGGUAUUGAGGUAAAAAGGAAUGCCGAAGGUGGUCUUCAUCUCUCUCAAGAAAAAUAUGCAUCUGAUCUUUUGAACAAGGCCGGGUUGCAGGGCUGCAAACCAUCUCCAACACCACUCUCCAGUUCUGAAAGACUGUCUCUUGCCGAAGGGGUUCCUCUGAGUCCAGCGGAUGGCACCAAAUACAGAAGUUUGGUAGGUGCACUCCAGUACUUGACACUCACCAGGCCUGAUAUUUCUUUUGCAGUCAAUAAAGUGUGUCAGUUUCUUCAUGCACCUACUUCAGCUCAUUGGACUGCUGCCAAACGCAUCUUGAGAUAUGUAAAGCACACCUUGGGUGUUGGCCUCACUUUCAGCAAGUCACCCUCAACACUUGUUAGUGCAUUUUCUGAUUCUGACUGGGCAGGAUGUCUGGAUGACAGAAGGUCCACAGGUGGGUUUGCAAUUUUCUUUGGACCUAAUCUCAUCUCAUGGUGUGCCAAGAAACAUGCAACUGUCUCUAGGUCAAGUACUGAGGCAGAAUAUAAGGCGUUGGCCAAUGCAACAACCGAAAUUAUAUGGGUCAGAUCUAUGCUUAAGGAGCUUGGAAUAUAUUCUAUACAAACUCCAUGUCUUUGGUGUGACAAUCUUGGUGCCACAUAUCUUUCAGCUAAUCCGGUCUUCCAUGCAAGAACCAAGCACAUUGAGAUUGAUUAUCAUUUUGUUCGUGAAAGGGUUGCAAGCAAGGAAUUGGAGAUCCGGUUUGUCCCUUCAAAGGAUCAAGUUGCAGAUGGCUUCACAAAGGCUUUGGCUACAGGGCCGUUUGAAGAGUUCAAGCGUAAUCUAAACUUGAGAAGCUUAGAUUAA